Molecule: non-coding RNA, 831 nt
Organism: Paramuricea clavata
Lineage: Eukaryota; Metazoa; Cnidaria; Anthozoa; Malacalcyonacea; Plexauridae
Source: the annotation of a GenBank genome assembly
CCAUAAUUUUGAGAAAUAGUCCAAAACGUCGGUCCCAAAUGAACCAUUUGUCGGUCCCGAUAGGCAUUACGCAAAAUUAUUGUUUCCGUGAGAUUUAUUUUUUGUACAGUGUCCAAAAAUUAAUAAGUAAGGUUACAGAAUUGCUAAUUGCCAUUAUACACUGCCUGAAUCAACUUCCUUCUGUGCUCUACAGCCAGCUGAUGGCCAAACUAGAGUCUGAAAAUGCCAUUUCCGAUCAUCUAGAGACUUCAAAGUUUCAAAAUUUUUCCGCUCGGCGCCAACCAUGGUGACGCCUCGUGCAACUCCCCCUUCCAAAAUGUAAACACGUAAAAACUUUUACACUCCUCCAAAUUUUAUUGGAAUGUGCACCCCUGACCACAAAAUAUUUCAAAGUCCUCCCCCCAAAAAGCCAAAAGAAACUCAGUCUUCUUCUGAAAAACGGUAGUAGACUAUAAAGUGCUUGAAAAUAUCCCUGGGGCAUCCAUCGGCUAGCUUUGGCAGGUUUGGUCAAUUUUGGCAAAUAUUCCUUGACAAGUUCUGUUGCUCGCGUGCAUUGUUAAACAUUUAUCUAAAACCACCUUUUGUUUGCCAAUACCAGAGAAAUAUUUCCUGUACACUUGUUGUCUAGUUUUCCGAAAAAAAUUUCCUUGUCCAAAAGCAGGCACGACUAGUUAUAGAACAAUUUCCUUGGCAAGGAAAACUUGUCCAUUUUUUGCCGUACACACGAGCAAAUAAAAUUGGUCAAGGAAAAAUUGCCCGUCUGUACAGGGCUUAAGUGCUUAACAUGGCUUAAUAAAGGCUACAACCCCAGACAAUGGAUGAUUCCAGCUA